AGGACGAACGCUGGCGGCGUGCUUAACACAUGCAAGUCGAGCGGAAAGGCCCUUCGGGGGUACUCGAGCGGCGAACGGGUGAGUAACACGUGAGCAACCUGCCCCUAGCUCUGGGGAUAGCUCCGGGAAACCGGGAUUAAUACCAGAUACGACCACUUUAGACAUCUUUUGUGGGUGGAAAAGGAUUCCGGCUAGGGAUGGGCUCGGCGGCCUAUCAGCUUGUUGGUGAGGUAACGGCCCACCAAGGCGACGACGGGUA
This 259-nucleotide ribosomal RNA is filed under the name uncultured bacterium. Its description in RNAcentral is "partial small subunit ribosomal RNA". It matches the Rfam family "Bacterial small subunit ribosomal RNA", at positions 26 to 285 of the family's 1533-position model. The record is from RNAcentral.